GGGGAUAUGGCGAAAUUGGUAGACGCUACGGACUUAAUUAGAUUGAGCCUUGGUAUAGAAACUUACUAAGUGAUGACUUUAAAAAUCGUGAGGGUUCAAGUCCCUCUCCUUUCA
RNAcentral lists this transfer RNA (114 nucleotides) under Cuscuta europaea. RNAcentral describes it as "tRNA-Leu". Lineage: Eukaryota; Viridiplantae; Streptophyta; Magnoliopsida; Solanales; Convolvulaceae. The record is from RNAcentral.